GGAUUAGCUUAUCGGUCGUACCUUCUUGGUACGCACUGGUAGUUGCUAAUCUCCACCUUCUAGCGAAUCGUUAUGUCUUUUAUUAGGCGUAACGGGGAACUAGGACUGUUACUUUGAAAAAAUUAGAGUGUUCAAAGCAGGCGUUUCGCCCGGAUACAUUAGCAUGGAAUAAUGAAAUAGGACGUGCGGUUCUAUUUUGUUGGUUUCUAGAGUCGCCGUAAUGAUUAAUAGGGAUAGUUG
This 240-nucleotide ribosomal RNA is filed under the name uncultured Paraglomus. RNAcentral describes it as "partial 18S ribosomal RNA". It matches the Rfam family "Eukaryotic small subunit ribosomal RNA", at positions 644 to 884 of the family's 1831-position model. Lineage: Eukaryota; Fungi; Glomeromycota; Glomeromycetes; Paraglomerales; Paraglomeraceae. The record is from RNAcentral.